UGUAUGUGUUUAAGAUGAAAACGGGUAUUGUGUCAUUUUUCAAAUCAAUGUAAAUAUUUGGUUGGGCUUAAUUAGUUACUUCAACUGUAAAUUAUAAAACAUCAGAAAGCCAUAUUUGUAUGUGAUAGUUAAGGGAAGCCAAUUUUUUAAAGUGUGUCUCUUUUGCAGAUUAAAAAAAUAUCAGAAAAACAUACGUUAUAGUUGAAUUAUGGCUCUAAAAGUAAAAGUUAUAAAAUUUCGCACUUGAACUGUUGGACUUGAAAGUUGAACUGAAGUCGGUCAAAACGAAAAUCGAAAUACGAAUCGCAAAAUCAUAAAAAAACAACAACAACAACAAAAAAAAACCCAGUCUUUCUCUAGUCUUAGGACAACAUUGUGUGAACUAUGGAUCCAGUUACAAGCAUGCUCAUGUUGAAAUACAGCAGCCCUCAAGCUUGAUGCAAGUUGGUUCUGAUGUUAUACAGUAGGAGUGGCUUAAUGCAUUUCUUUGGUCAAAAGAUGCUAGGGAAAGUGGAGAGGAAAGUUACAGUUUUCAAAGAUACUUACUCCUACACCAGUAGUUCAAGUCAACUAAUGUUUCUGUGUUCCUGUAUGAAAUUCAUUAACAGGGCCAUCUGGUAGCUAGCGAAGAAGUCGUUGUGGUUUUUUUGUUUUUAAUGAAAACGUUUUUGUGUGUGUACAUAUAUUAUGAUUUUUGAUUUUCAAUAUAAUUCACACAUUUCAUGUCUGAUAAUUUGUUUCUACUUUACAUUUUGUUAGUUUGUAAUAGUAUCAUUCUGAAACAGAGGGAACUAAAUGCGUUUGUGUGUAACCAAUUAGACAUACUUUUUUUUUUUCCCCACAAACUUUGGAAUUUUCUGCCCAAUAAGAUUUGCAGUGAGUUAUUGAAGUAAUAAUAAUACUUGUUGUUCUUUAAUUAGUUUUACUGAAGAAACACCAAGUGUAUUCUUGAAAAAUAGAAAUUUUAUAAAAGUCAUUUAUUGUAUGUUGAGAUUAAUGGGUUGUACAACUGUUCAAAGAUUUAAAUAAAAUGCUCAUUGAGAUUGA
RNAcentral lists this long non-coding RNA (1047 nucleotides) under Limulus polyphemus (Atlantic horseshoe crab). RNAcentral's name for it is "uncharacterized LOC111086437, transcript variant X5". Lineage: Eukaryota; Metazoa; Arthropoda; Merostomata; Xiphosura; Limulidae. The record is from RNAcentral.